GAUGAACGCUGGCGGCGUGCUUAACACAUGCAAGUCGAACGGUAAGGUCCCUCGGGGACGACACGAGUGGCGAACGGGUGAGUAACACGUGGGCGAACCUGCCCCUCCACAUCGGGAUAACCACCGGAAACGGUGGCUAAUACCGGAUACUCCGGCGAGAUCGCAUGGUCUUGCCGGGAAAGCUCCGGCGGUGAGGGAUGGGCCCGCGGCCCAUUAGCUUGUUGGUGGGGUAGUGGCCUACCAAGGCGACGAUGGGUAGCCGAGCUGAGAGGCUGAUCGGCCUCACUAGGACUGAGACACGGCCCAGACUCCUACGGGAGGCAGCAUG
RNAcentral lists this ribosomal RNA (328 nucleotides) under uncultured bacterium. RNAcentral describes it as "bacterial SSU rRNA". It matches the Rfam family "Bacterial small subunit ribosomal RNA", at positions 28 to 355 of the family's 1533-position model. The record is from RNAcentral.